Molecule: ribosomal RNA, 465 nt
Filed under: uncultured bacterium
Lineage: Bacteria
Description: partial 16S ribosomal RNA
Rfam family: Bacterial small subunit ribosomal RNA
Source: RNAcentral
GACGAACGCUGGCGGCGUGCUUAACACAUGCAAGUCGAACGGAAAGGCCCUGCUUGCAGGGUACUCGAGUGGCGAACGGGUGAGUAACACGUGGGUGAUCUGCCCUGCACUUCGGGAUAAGCCUGGGAAACUGGGUCUAAUACCGGAUAGGAGCCAUUUUUAGUGGGAUGGUUGGAAAGUUUUUUCGGUGUAGGAUGAGUUCGCGGCCUAUCAGCUUGUUGGUGGGGUAAUGGCCUACCAAGGCGGCGACGGGUAGCCGGCCUGAGAGGGUGGACGGCCACAUUGAGACCGAGAGACGGCCCAGACUCCUAAGGGAGGCAGCAGUGGGGAAGAUUGCACAAUGGGCGCAGGCCUGAUGCAGAGACGCCGCGUGGGGGAUGACGGCCUUCGGGUUGUAAACUCCUUUCGCUAGGGACGAAGCUUUUUGUGACGGUACCUAGAUAAGAAGCACCGGCUAACUACGUG